CGAAACCUUUUGGUGUACUGGACUACGUUCUGACCAACUGAGCCACCCAGCCAGGGGGAGGUCUCCAUCUUUUACCGUCCUAUCAACUAGUUCAUAUUUUUCAAAGACACUUAGCACUUACUUAAAGGGUCUUGAUACUAGAAUUCUGACAGGUUUUCAAACAAAGAUGUGUACCUGAAUGUCCAUGGUAGCGUUAACCACAAUAGCCCCAAAUGUCUAUCAAUAGAUGAAUAAAAAAACAAAACACAAGAUAUCCUACAAUAAAAUAUUAUCCAGCCACAGAAAGGAAGGAAGUACUGAUCCCGCAACAACACAACAUGGGAACCUUAGAAACUUGACGCUCAGUGGAGGAAGCCAGGCACACAAGGCCCCAAACUACAUGAUUCCACCGAAAUGAAACAUCCAGAAUAGGCAAAUUCUUGGAGAGAGAAGGCGUAUUAGUGGUUGUCAGGGACUCAAGAGAAAGGAAAGAGUGACUGUUUAAUGGGCACCAGCUCUCCUUUGGGGGUGAUGAAGAAAGUCUGCAGCUAGGUAGUGGUUAUGGCUGUGCGGCCCUGUGGAUGCACUUUGUGCCAUGCAACCGUGCACUUUACAACAGUCUGUUUUAUGCCGUGUGUGUUUCAUGUGCGUGAUCAGUUCUGAUGACUUAAUUAGAUUAAAAAUAUUUAUGUCCAAGUCUUUUAUCUGGCUAACUUUGAUCAAACAGAGGAAUAUUCAUUUUUUAUUGAGAAUAUCAGCUCCUGGGUAAGUAAUAAACUUCAAAUGUACAAUGUAAUAUAUAUCAUAGAAAAAACAGCUUUCACUCAACGUGGACUGUUCGUUUUCUAAAUUAUUCAUGCAAAAGUAAUUAAUAAUGAUGAGUAAAAAGGUGAAUUUCUAUUUGGUAAAUGUCAUAGUUUUUACAUUUGCAAGAUAUGUAGAACUAUAACUCAAUUUCAAUUAUUUCAGAGAGACUUUAACGAUAUAACACUGUGACCUCUUUAAAGGAAUAGCAAUGAACAUGUUUUUGUAUAAUUAAAGAACCUUGAUUCUUUUACAUUAUUCACUGAAAACCACCAUCAGUUUCAAAAGGAUAAUUUUUGGUCUCAGUCUUCUGUUGGAUACAAUUUAUUCUGUACGUGCGAGGCACUAAGCUGUGGGACAUACGCAGCCACCUAAUUCACACCAUCACAGUCCGCUGUGUUGUGUAGAGAGGCGACAUAAUUCGCCCAAGUUCUCUCAGGUGGUUAAUAAUAGAUCUGGGGUUCAGAGCUUGCUUUGGAAUUUCAAUUCCGAAUCCUAUUGUCUCAACUGACAAACUUGCUCUGCACAGGGCCAGAUAGCAAAUAUUUGAGGCUUUGCUGGCCACGUGGUCUCUGUUGCAACUACUCAACUUUGCCCUUGCAGCAUGAAAACACCACAGACAGUUCAUAAACAAGGGAGCAUGCUCAUGACUCCUGUUUCAAUAAGGGCAUGAAAUUUAAAUUUACCUAUUUUUUCAUGUAUCACGAUCAUUCUUUCCCUUUCCUCCCAGCAAUUUCAAAGUGUAAAAAACGAUUCUUAGCUCGCAGGCCACACAAAAUCAGGCAGCGAGCCAGGUUUGGCCCCACGGCUAUAGUUUGCUGACCCCUCCUCUUGGUCCGGGGGAGGGCCCCAAAUCCCAUGUCUACAGUGGACAGGAGCAUAAUAAAAUGAGUGAAACAGGCUGAGCGAACAUUAGAGGUUAGUGGAGACUGUAGCUACUAGAAGAAACCACAGCUUCCUCGGGAAGCUCUUAACUGUUGCUGUCACAUGAGAAUGUGGGCCUGGUAUUGCCAAUCCCUGCGGGUUCUCAAAGGAGAGAAGCUGGAAGUUCAGGUUUGUCCUUUACAGUCUUUCUGUUUCAAUAUCAGCAGUAAAUUUCUGGAAGAAAACGCUAUCUAUGAAAACCCAUCAUAGAUCAGAUAUGGCCCAUGGGUGCCGCUGUGUGCAACCUCUUCACUGAGGUCGCACAGGUUCUCAACCCUGGCUGUUUCAGGGGUUCAUUUUAGGUGCUUUAAAAAAUGGAGAUGUCUGGACCUCACCCCCAGAAAUCAGAUUGAACUGGUCUGCAAUGGAGUGACUGUGUAUUUUUAAAGCCCCCUGCUGACUCUGAAGUGUAGCUGCCCCUGCUUCUGUCUGCCAAUUACACGGGCUUGUCUCCCCAGCUGAGCACAUGCAUACUGAGGGAGGGCAGAUUUCCAGCUGCUCUUGGUCCAAAAGUCAACUCAUUUAACCUGUUCCUCUGCCCGCCCCACAGCUGUUGCCUAUAAACACCACCACAAAGGACUGCAGUCUUUUACUCAUUAAUCUCACUUGUUGGAAACAAACAACAACCGAGGAGCAACAUCAUAACGAUCACUUGCCAGUGAGGUCUGAACACACAGGGAACCAGCUGUGGGGCAGAUCUGGGACCAAGUUGGAUGGCAUUUUUUUUCUGCCCAGUGCCCUGCCCAGUUUAAAAUACCAUGGGGCUUGAACACUGGCUGUAGACAAAGGAGCCCGAACCAUAGACAUAGGCCAAAUGCCUGGUUCAGAGCCUUCAGUAGCUUCCCUUACCCUUCACCUUGGCCUGUGUGGUGUGGCCCAUUCUAUCAGUCAGGGUUCAGUGAAGAAACACUAUGGAUUAUAGGAUAAGAGAUUCAUUUUAGGAAUUAGACCCUGCAGAGCUGUGGGAAGAGCCGAGGAAUGGACAGUGAGAGGGAAACUAGAAGAUCAGAGAAGGCACUAACCAGUCCAUCCGACCAACCAAGCGUAUUUGGCCACUAAAAUCAAAUUUGGCCAAGGAGAGCCUCUAUGACAAGCUGUACUCCAUAUUCCUACUGCGGCAAAGCAUCUGGUGGUGGGACAGGGGCCACUGCUGGUCAACAGGGUCGGCAGUCAGGAAAAGAGCUGGAUGCAGAGCGGAGGAGAGAAGGGCAGGUGAAACCCACAGGCGUCUGCAUCCAUGCAUCACGGUGUCUGACCAUGGUGACCUUUGGUGUUGGCUGCUGCUGCACUUGCUUCUCCCGGCUAGCCUAACAGGGAAGAGGAUUCUAGGAAAAGAGGAUUUCACUUCCCACUUAACCCGGUUGACGCAGUACAAACCACACAUCCUUGCCCACCUCUUUUGCCUCUUUUAACUGUCAUCCUCUCUGAUGGUUGAUUUUAUAUGUCAACUUGGCUGGGCCACAGGGUGCCCAGGUAUCUAAACAUGAUCCUGGGUGUUUGAAUCAGUAGGCUGAGUAAAGUGGAUCACCCUCCCUAAUAUGGGUGGGCCUCAUCUAUUCAGUUGAAGGCAUGGGUAAAACAGAAAAAGGGGGUGGGGGCUAGGGAGAAUUCUCACUUUCUGCCUGACUGCUGAGCUGGGACAACAAUCUUCUUUUGCCUUCGGAUGGAAACUUACACUGUUGGCUCUGCUGGCUCUCAGGCCUUCACGCUUGAACUGGAGUUGCCCCACCGGCUUUCCUGGGCUUCCUGAAGACUGUGAGACUCUGCCUUCAGAGUCACAUGGACCAAUUCCUUAUAAUACCUUUCUCUCUCUCCAUAUACAUCCUAUUGGUUCUCUUUCUUUAGGAACUGUUACUUACUAAUCCACCCUCUUUCCUCCAUGGUUCUUCUUUCAGUUCCUGGAGGUUGCCAAGUUCUUUCCUGUCCUGUGGCCAUUUCACUUCUAGCUUAAAUGUUCUCCCCCUCACCAAUUCCUCACCUACCUCCUGCUCCUCACCCUCUAGGGUCCAGGUAACAGCACAUUCUCUGGACUUCCAAUACCGAUGAUCUCCUCAUUCUUUUUCUCUUAUAGGUACAACUAAGGGCUGUAUCUCUACAACAGAGUGACAAGUCUUCAUACACAGCAUUGGGUUAAUUUGAAAACCACCCAAUACACUCCCGAGGCUACAGUCCACCUGGGGCCAGCCAGGUAAUGACCUCUCGACUAAGUGAUAUCUCAGGACAUUUUCUGAAUUCUACCUCC
This is a long non-coding RNA of Phyllostomus discolor (pale spear-nosed bat), 3949 nucleotides long. RefSeq lists it as uncharacterized. The record is from RefSeq and is a predicted model, not a curated record. Lineage: Eukaryota; Metazoa; Chordata; Mammalia; Chiroptera; Phyllostomidae. The transcript is spliced from 2 exons.